CAGGCUUCUUCUUCUUUUUUCUUCUCCAACACUCUACGUCUCCUCGUCCAAAAAACCAGAGCGUUCGGCUUCGGGUUCAAUGGGCCGGUAACAUCUGCGUCUCUCCAUCAGCCUGUGAUG
Molecule: non-coding RNA, 120 nt
Organism: Caenorhabditis elegans
Lineage: Eukaryota; Metazoa; Nematoda; Chromadorea; Rhabditida; Rhabditidae
Source: Ensembl